Molecule: long non-coding RNA, 1834 nt
Organism: Pseudoliparis swirei
Lineage: Eukaryota; Metazoa; Chordata; Actinopteri; Perciformes; Liparidae
Exons: 3
Source: RefSeq, a predicted model, not a curated record
GUGGCCACGAAUGUGUUACUAAAUAUGCCUUUGUAAGGCAUAUGAAAGUUCACCAAAACACCCCCCACAUCAAAUUUAAAUGUGCUUUUCAUGGUUGUAACCGUUCAUUUGGCAAAGUGUUGUCUUUAAAAUGUCAUGUAUAUAGAGAUCACCCAGGUCAGAGGGAGUCAAGAUUAAGUGAAGGAUGUUCUGGCAUAAGGACAUUAACCAGAGCUACCAACUCUCACGGUUUCGCCGUGUGACACACGCUUUUGCAUGUUUUCACGCUCUCACGCCACACAACCAAUUUCUCACGGCAAAAGAAAUUCUGAUUUUGAGCCGAGGCGCGUUGGUUUCUUUUCAAACUCCGCGACGAUAGAUGGCGCUAAGGAGCGCAUCUAUAAACCUGUUCGCUGCAUAGACAUCCUAUUUACCCCAAAGAGUCCCGGAGUCAGCAACAGAAGAAGAUUUUCAAACACACACAACGAGCAGAGACUACGGUGUGUGAAUGCAGGGCUCUCAAGUGUCACGCAUUUCGGUCUUAAGUCAUGCACUCCCGCCACACAUCGUAUUUCUCACGCUGAAAAAACUCUCUGCUAUUUAAUAUUUUAAUGUGCCGCAGCACGCAAACAUGCGCUGGCCGCGCCGCCCUCACCGUGGAGGAAUCAAGCGCUCCCCUGGAGUUCUGCUGUGAGGAUCCACUUAUCAGCCAAUCAAAAAAAAGAAAUGGGCUACACAAUAGCCAAUCAUAAAAAAACGUAUCUGUUGUAUCUGUAAGAUUUAAUCCAGCAACCAAUGAAAAUAAAGCAUCCUGGAUAGAUAUGUCACUCUUGCCUGUCUUCAAAACUUAAGAGCCCUGUUAAUGACAUGUGGUUCAAUUAAGUUCUCACUCUCUUAAACUUUAAAUCGUGAAAUAAUUCGUUGUGUUUGUGCUUGUGAUUUUGUGAGGUGAUGUAAACUCAGCUGUCAUAAGGAGCAGCAGGAGAGCACCUUGUUAACCUCUUGGUAUCCUGCAUGCUCAACACACCAGAGCAUUGUUUGUUAAGGCUGCCCAAAGAGCAUUUAUCACUUUAUUUGCAGGCCUAGGAAAAGGACCCUCUCAAAAAAUUUCCAAACAGCACUUUGAACAAGUAAGAUGUAUUAUAAAGAAUUUAACAUAAAGACAGGACAUUUGUGCAAUAGAAUUAGGCAUGUUUUUGUAAAUGAGAGUAUAGUUAUUAAAAAACAUUUAAAUUCUUUAAGGUAGCAAAGAUGCCUCGUAAAAGACCUUUGCCAGGCCAGAAUGCAGGGUACAACAUGGGGACAACAUGGUUAGAACAUGGGUACAACAUGGGUACAACGCCACAUUAAUUCAAAUUUCCUGAUAUUUGAACCACCAACGUGUGUGGCUGCGUGCGCGGCAAUAUUUUGGUCACCAACGACAAAAUCUCACUCCAAGGUUUUUUGAAAAGUUGGCAGCUCUGCAUUAACGUUGGACGUUUUAUUGUCAUGCCACUUCGAUUUCUGUACUGUCAAGUGUGACAGUUUGUCACGUUUAUUUUCUCACUUGAAGAUCUUGGGAAUAACAGAAGCAUUUCCGGAAAACCAGGGCAGAAUCAUCUCGGAAUACUUCAAGGCCAAUCCCAGCAACGAUGAAGUAAAGAACGUCCUCUCACAAGAAAACGGUAUUACAUUCCCCUAUAUUCUGGAUCUACUGAUGGCACACUUCAAAGAGCAGAGAGAUGCCCUCAUCUUGCAGGCAGAUGUGUCAGACACAGCAGCAACUGUGAAGACAUCCCUUGCCCUCCCCGAUAGCCCUCGGUUGAUCAUUCUAGGUCCAAUGAUUCCUGACCAGCGUUGGAUGGUUAGCAUCGAG